UACGUAGGGUGCGAGCGUUGUCCGGAAUUAUUGGGCGUAAAGGGCUCGUAGGCGGUCUGUCACGUCGGGAGUGAAAACACGGGGCUUAACCCCGUGCCUGCUUCCGAUACGGGCAGACUAGAGGUAUGCAGGGGAGAACGGAAUUCCUGGUGUAGCGGUGAAAUGCGCAGAUAUCAGGAGGAACACCGGUGGCGAAGGCGGUUCUCUGGGCAUUACCUGACGCUGAGGAGCGAAAGUGUGGGGAGCGAACAGG
This 253-nucleotide ribosomal RNA is filed under the name uncultured bacterium. RNAcentral's name for it is "partial 16S ribosomal RNA". It matches the Rfam family "Bacterial small subunit ribosomal RNA", at positions 524 to 776 of the family's 1533-position model. The record is from RNAcentral.